Musa acuminata subsp. malaccensis (wild Malaysian banana) is the source of this 307-nucleotide non-coding RNA. Lineage: Eukaryota; Viridiplantae; Streptophyta; Magnoliopsida; Zingiberales; Musaceae. The record is from RefSeq and is a predicted model, not a curated record.
GCAAGCUGCAUACUUAGUAAAGGGGACAAAAAUAUCAUUUGUCAUGAUCCCUAGCGACUCCGAACCCAGCAAACCCGUCGCCGCCGGAGAGAUCCUGCAAGCCGGUGAGCUCUGCCGCCUUUAGAUUCCCUCAAUCGGCCGUGGUAAUCACUGUUGCAGUCAACCUCCAUUCGUCUCCUUUCGGUGAUCUCAAACGGCCGCCUUGAUCAAUUACUGCCCAACAAUCAUGAUCUGCUACGCCGUCAGUGGAAGAGAGGGAGAGGAGCCAGCCGGCGGGCCAAGGAAUCCAUGGGGCAGUCGGAUGAGG